GAUGAAGAACGUAGCGAAAUGCGAUAAGUAAUGCGAAUUGCAGAAUUUCCGUGAGUCAUCGAAUCUUUGAACGCACAUUGCGCCCAUUGGUAUUCCGAUGGGCAUGCCUGUUCGAGCGUCAUUUCACCACUCAAGCCUCGCUUGGUAUUGGGCAACGCGGUCCGCCGCGUGCCUCAAAUCGUCCGGCUGGGUCUUCUGUCCCCUAAGCGUUGUGGAAACUAUUCGCUAAAGGGUGUUCGGGAGGCUACGCCGUAAAACAACCCCAUUUCUAAGGUUGACCUCGGAUCAGGUAGGGAUACCCGCUGAACUUAAGCAUAUCAAUAAGCGGAGGA
RNAcentral lists this unclassified non-coding RNA (332 nucleotides) under soil metagenome. RNAcentral describes it as "partial contains 5.8S ribosomal RNA, internal transcribed spacer 2, and large subunit ribosomal RNA". The stretch from base 1 to 121 matches the Rfam family "5.8S ribosomal RNA", at positions 35 to 154 of the family's 154-position model. The record is from RNAcentral.